RNAcentral lists this ribosomal RNA (242 nucleotides) under uncultured bacterium. Its description in RNAcentral is "partial 16S ribosomal RNA". It matches the Rfam family "Bacterial small subunit ribosomal RNA", at positions 1248 to 1500 of the family's 1533-position model. The record is from RNAcentral.
AGCGAGGCUGUGAAGCGGAGCAAAUCUCAAAAACCGGUCCCAGUUCGGAUUGUAGGCUGCAACUCGCCUACAUGAAGUCGGAGUUGCUAGUAAUCGCGGAUCAGAAUGCCGCGGUGAAUGCGUUCCCGGGUCUUGUACACACCGCCCGUCACACCAUGGAAGUUGGGGGCGCCCGAAGUUGCCUAAGAAAUAAGGUACCUAAGGCGAAACCAAUGACUGGGGUGAAGUCGUAACAAGGUACC